AACGAACGCUGGCGGCAUGCCUAACACAUGCAAGUCGAACGAGACCUUCGGGUCUAGUGGCGCACGGGUGCGUAACGCGUGGGAACCUGCCCUUAGGUUCGGAAUAACUCCCCGAAAGGGGUGCUAAUACCGGAUAAUGUCUUCGGACCAAAGAUUUAUCGCCUUUGGAUGGGCCCGCGUUGGAUUAGCUAGUUGGUAGGGUAAAAGCCUACCAAGGCGACGAUCCAUAGCUGGUCUGAGAGGAUGAUCAGCCACACUGGGACUGAGACACGGCCCAGACACCGAGGGGAGGGGGAAGGGGGGAGCAUUGGUCACUGGACGAAAGCCUGAUCCAGGAGGGUGGCGUGUGUGAGGAGGUCCUUAGGGUUGUAAAGCGCUUUUACCGGGGAUGAUAAAGCCGGUACCGGGAGAAUACGCUCCGGCUAACCCCGAGCCAGCAGCCGCGGUAAUGUCGGAAGAGCACCCGUCCGAUC
This 473-nucleotide ribosomal RNA is filed under the name uncultured bacterium. RNAcentral describes it as "partial 16S ribosomal RNA". It matches the Rfam family "Bacterial small subunit ribosomal RNA", at positions 33 to 541 of the family's 1533-position model. The record is from RNAcentral.